Molecule: long non-coding RNA, 223 nt
Filed under: Elaeis guineensis (African oil palm)
Lineage: Eukaryota; Viridiplantae; Streptophyta; Magnoliopsida; Arecales; Arecaceae
Description: long non-coding RNA (EGUI_LNC067663)
Source: RNAcentral
ACUAAGAUAGGUUGUAAGAAAGAAAGAAGAGCAAUCGGAGGGAAAUUGAAAAUCUGAUCUGAAUGAAUUGGACACCCAGUGCCCAGGCCCUUUUAUAGCCAUCAGAGAGAUGCCAAAAGAGAGGGACACACCUCAUCUAAGAGGCCUAUCUGAUUUGAUUAUCAGAGAUGAGAGUUCCUUCAAGCAGAAGGACUCUUAUCAAUGAUACAUCGAUCAGCACCCU